UCCCCCGAUGAACCGUUGAAUCAUGUUCUCGUGCUCUCUUUCGGGAGGGCUGAACGAAGGUGGGCUGCUUAAUUGUAGUCUGCCGAUGUAUUUUUCAAACCCAUUUACCUAAUACUGAUCUAUACUCCAAAAACGAAAGUUUAUGGUUUUAAUCUAUAACAACUUUCAGCAGUGGAUGUCUAGGCUCGCACAUCGAUGAAGAACGCUGCGAACUGCGAUACGUAAUGCGAAUUGCAGAAUUCAGUGAGUCAUCGAAAUUUUGAACGCACAUUGCACUUUCGGGUUAUGCCUGGAAGUAUGCCUGUAUCAGUGUCCGUACAUCAAACUUGCCUUUCUUUUUCUGUGUAGUCAGGGAGAGAGAUGGCAGAAUGUGAGGUGUCUCGCUGGCUCCCUUUUCGGAGGAGAAGACGCGAGUCCCUUUAAAUGUACGUUCGCUCUUUCUUGUGUCUAAGAUGAAGUGUGAUUCUCGAAUCGCGGUGAUCUGUUUGGAUCGCUUUGCGCAUUUGGGCGACUUCGGUUAGGACAUUAAAGGAAGCAACCUCUAUUGGCGGUAUGUUAGGCUUCGGCCCGACGUUGCAGCUGACAGAGUGUGGUUUUCUGUUCUUUCCUUGAGGUGUACCUGAAUUGUGUGAGGCAAUGGUCUGGGCAAAUGGUUGCUGUGUAGUAGGGUUUUGCUGCUCUUGGACGCCCUGUUUUCGGAUAGGGUAAAGGACGCCACCCCCACUUUGGGACUGUUUGCAAUUUAUUGUGAACACUUUCUAAGUGGACUGAUAUCAGUGGGGGGUGCGUACACCUCCCCGCACAUUUUUUCGCGGAGCGAGUGAAAAAGGGCGCGGGCCCCCUCCCGGAGGAGUGAAAGAAAGAGAGGCGGGCUUAAUUUAAUCCGCGCGCUAUUUUUCACACCUACCCAAAACAGAACGUACGCCCAACAGAAAGAUUUGGUGUGUAUAUAUACACUCUACACGAAGUCAGGGUCGCCCCUCCCGAACCUGCACUCGGAGCCAUUGCGAGCGAAUCUGGAUCAUUAGGCACUCGCUCUCUCGUUAUUCGGAAGUCCUGUAUCAUGGGCAUCAC
RNAcentral lists this ribosomal RNA (1074 nucleotides) under Pythium aphanidermatum. RNAcentral describes it as "eukaryotic LSU rRNA". The stretch from base 161 to 315 matches the Rfam family "5.8S ribosomal RNA". The record is from RNAcentral. Lineage: Eukaryota; Oomycota; Peronosporomycetes; Pythiales; Pythiaceae.